CGGACGGGUGAGUAAUGCUUGGGAAUCUGUCUUAGGGAGGGGGAUAACGACGGGAAACUGUCGCUAAUACCGCGUAAUGUCUAAGGACGAAAGGGUGGGACCUUCGGGCCACCUGCCGUAAGAUGAGCCCAAGUGGGAUUAGGUAGUUGGUGAGGUAAGGGCUCACCAAGCCGACGAUCUCUAGCUGGUCUGAGAGGAUGACCAGCCACACUGGAACUGAGACACGGUCCAGACUCCUACGGGAGGCAGCAGUGGGGAAUAUUGCGCAAUGGGGGCAACCCUGACGCAGCCAUGCCGCGUGAAUGAAGAAGGCCUUCGGGUUGUAAAGUUCUUUCGGUGAUGAGGAAGGUGGAUGUUUUAAUAGAGCAUACAAUUGACGUUAGUCACAGAAGAAGCACCGGCUAACUCCGUGCCAGCAGCCGCGGUAAUACGGAGGGUGCGAGCGUUAAUCGGAAUAACUGGGCGUAAAGGGCACGCAGGCGGACUUUUAAGUGAGGUGUGAAAUCCCCGGGCUUAACCUGGGAAUUGCAUUUCAGACUGGGGGUCUAGAGUACUUUAGGGAGGGGUAGAAUUCCACGUGUAGCGGUGAAAUGCGUAGAGAUGUGGAGGAAUACCGAAGGCGAAGGCAGCCCCUUGGGGAUGUACUGACGCUCAUGUGCGAAAGCGUGGGGAGCAAACAGGAUUAGAUACCCUGGUAGUCCACGCUG
RNAcentral lists this ribosomal RNA (707 nucleotides) under uncultured Actinobacillus sp. RNAcentral's name for it is "bacterial SSU rRNA". It matches the Rfam family "Bacterial small subunit ribosomal RNA", at positions 99 to 802 of the family's 1533-position model. The record is from RNAcentral. Lineage: Bacteria; Pseudomonadati; Pseudomonadota; Gammaproteobacteria; Pasteurellales; Pasteurellaceae.